This 29-nucleotide non-coding RNA is filed under the name Rattus norvegicus (Norway rat). The record is from RNAcentral. Lineage: Eukaryota; Metazoa; Chordata; Mammalia; Rodentia; Muridae.
UGGAUAAAAGACCUUACUGUCCCGAGACA